This is a non-coding RNA of Equus caballus (horse), 1197 nucleotides long. Lineage: Eukaryota; Metazoa; Chordata; Mammalia; Perissodactyla; Equidae. The record is from RefSeq and is a predicted model, not a curated record.
AGAUGUUAGCUCAGGGCUAAUCUUCCUCAAAAAAAAAAAACAAUCCUGCUAUAAGCUCAAAGUGGCCACAAGGUCUCCUGAUGUCAGUUUAUUAACAGUUUAUUUAGGCUUUCGGCAACUACAGCCUUGAAUUAGAUGAGUCUAUUAACUUUCAUUUUGGAGUGGAGAUCAUGCUAGCUGUGAGGGUUUUAAGAUAGGGAUUUCUCUGUCCCAUGAACGUUUAGUAAAACUUCACCUGUGAAACCAGGUGUGAAUUUUGGUAAGAAAUAAUGUGGAUGUAAACAAAGACUGCCUGCGUGAGGACCGGCAGAGGCGGUGUACUCAGGGCUUCCGAGCAGGGAGACGGAGGAGGGCGACAGCGUCACGGUGAGGAAGGGCGGGCUCAGGUGUGCCCCAGGAGAGGCUGGGGAAACUGCAGGCGGCUAACUAGAGGGGGUGCAACCUAUGCCAUGGGUUAGCGGGGCAUGCCUGACCUUCUCUGGUUGGCCGAGUCCCAAGUGGAGGCGGAAAUUAGGGAAGCUGGCAGCUGUUGACCGAGUCCUGGCCGUUUGGGGCGGGUCGCUGCACAGGCUGCUGGCCAGAGUCCCGUUGUCAUAUGUAGCCAUUGUCCGGUCGUAUAUUCAGUCUCUCUCUAUUCUUCUAGAACAUUAUCCGCUUCAUCUUACCUUUCAAAUGGAUUGGCAUCAAGUUGUUUGUAAUAUUCCCUUAUAAUUUUAGCCUCUAAUAUUGGUUUUGUCUGUUCUCUCACUCACAUCUCCUCUCUUUUUUCUUGGCUGGUCAUUUGCAUAUUUGAUGCGUCUUUUUACAGAACCAGUUUUGAGUCUUGUGCAUCAGGUUCUGUUUCAUUAGCGUCUGUUCUCGUCUUUAGCAUUUCCUCCCUCCGUCUCCCCUGGGUUCGCUCUGUUCUGUUUGUAGCUGCUGUGUCAAAUGCUUAGCGACGUUUUCAGCCCUUUCGGCUCCGCAAUGAACGCGUUUCAGGCCGCGGUCUGCCCUCUCCCCGGUGCUUCUGCUGCGUCCACAAACGCGGGCCGUGUGCUUUCACCUCCGGUGACCGCCGUCUACACAGAGAAGCCCCCAAGGACACACCACAGCCCACCUCUGAGGAGCAGGAGGGGAGGGCGUGGACGGCGUGAGGGACACUGCACACUCCCUGAAGACAGCAGCAGCCUCUUGGUGCUGAAAGGUUUUGGUGAAACU